GACGAACCGAGCGAACGUUGUUCGGAAUCACUGGGCUUAAAGGGCGCGUAGGCGGGCAUUCAAGUCUGUGGUGAAAUCCUCCAGCUCAACUGGAGAACUGCCAUGGAUACUGGGUGUCUCGAGGAAGGUAGGGGUAUGCGGAACGAUUGGUGGAGCGGUGAAAUGCGUUGAUAUCAAUCGGAACUCCGGUGGCGAAGGCGGCAUACUGGACCUUUUCUGACGCUGUGGCGCGAAAGCUAGGGGAGCAAACGGG
Molecule: ribosomal RNA, 253 nt
Filed under: uncultured bacterium
Lineage: Bacteria
Description: partial 16S ribosomal RNA
Rfam family: Bacterial small subunit ribosomal RNA
Source: RNAcentral